Molecule: ribosomal RNA, 433 nt
Filed under: uncultured bacterium
Lineage: Bacteria
Description: partial 16S ribosomal RNA
Rfam family: Bacterial small subunit ribosomal RNA
Source: RNAcentral
AACGAACGCUGGCGGCAUGCCUAACACAUGCAAGUCGAACGAGACCUUCGGGUCUAGUGGCGCACGGGGGCGUAACGCGUGGGAACGUGCCCUUAGGUUCGGAAUAACUCCCCGAAAGGGGGGCUAAUACCGGAUAAUGUCUGCGGACCAAAGAUUUAUCGCCUUUGGAUGGGCCCGCGUUGGAUUAGCUAGUUGGUAGGGUAAAAGCCUACCAAGGCGACGAUCCAUAGCUGGUCUGAGAGGAUGAUCCGCCACACUGGGACUGAGCCACGGCCCAGACUCCUACGCGAGGCAGCCGUGCCGAAUCUUGCACAACCGCCGAAAUCCUGAUCCAGCAAUGCCGCGUGAGUGAUGAAGUCCUUAGGGUUGUACAGCUCUUUUACCCGCGAUGAUAAUGACAGUACCGGGAGAAUAAGCUCCGGCUAACUCCGUG